This 712-nucleotide ribosomal RNA is filed under the name uncultured bacterium. Its description in RNAcentral is "bacterial SSU rRNA". It matches the Rfam family "Bacterial small subunit ribosomal RNA", at positions 112 to 812 of the family's 1533-position model. The record is from RNAcentral.
AACGCGUAGGUAACCUGCCUGGUAGCGGAGGAUAACUAUUGGAAACGAUAGCCAAUACCGCAUAAUAUCUUUAAUUGCAUGAUUGAAGUUUGAAAGAUGCAACUGCAUCACUACCAGAUGGACCUGCGUUGUAUUAGCUAGUAGGUGAGGUAAAGGCUCACCUAGGCGACGAUACAUAGCCGACCUGAGAGGGUGAACGGCCACACUGGGACUGAGACACGGCCCAGACUCCUACGGGAGGCAGCAGUAGAGAAUCUUCGGCAAUGGGGGCAACCCUGACCGAGCAACGCCGCGUGAGUGAAGAAGGUUUUCGGACCGUAAAGCUCUGUUGUAAGAGAAGAACGUGUGUGAGAGUGGAAAGUUCACACAGUGACGGUAACUUACCAGAAAGGGACGGCUAACUACGUGCCAGCAGCCGCGGUAAUACGUAGGUCCCGAGCGUUAUCCGGAUUUAUUGGACGUAAAGCGAGCGCAGGCGGUUGGAUAAGUCUGAAGUUAAAGGCUGUGGCUCAACCAUAGUAUGCUUUGGAAACUGUUCAACUUGAGUGCAGAAGGGGAGAGUGGAAUUCCAUGUGUAGCGGUGGAAUGCGUAGAUAUAUGGAGGAACACCGGUGGCGAAAGCGGCUCUCUGGUCUGUAACUGACGCUGAGGCUCGAAAGCGUGGGUAGCGAACAGGAUUAGAUACCCUGGUAGUCCACGCCGUAAACGAUGA